This 254-nucleotide ribosomal RNA is filed under the name uncultured bacterium. RNAcentral describes it as "partial 16S ribosomal RNA". It matches the Rfam family "Bacterial small subunit ribosomal RNA", at positions 524 to 776 of the family's 1533-position model. The record is from RNAcentral.
UACGUAGGGGCCUAGCGUUGUCCGGAUUUAUUGGGCGUAAAGAGCUCGUAGGCGGUUCGGUAAGUCAGGUGUGAAAUCUCCACGCUCAACGUGGAGGCGCCACCUGAAACUGCCGUGACUAGAGUUCGGCAGGGGAGACUGGAAUUCCUGGUGUAGCGGUGAAAUGCGCAGAUAUCAGGAGGAACACCGGUGGCGAAGGCGGGUCUCUGGGCCGAUACUGACGCUGAGGAGCGAAAGCGUGGGGAGCGAACAGG